Amphiprion ocellaris (clown anemonefish) is the source of this 1229-nucleotide long non-coding RNA. NCBI's taxonomy places the organism in Eukaryota, Metazoa, Chordata, Actinopteri, Pomacentridae. The record is from Ensembl.
AUAAAUAAAUAUAUAUAUAUAUAUAUAUGUAUAUGUAUAUGUGUAUGUGAAAGUACUUGUGAAAUUUUAGACCGGUAUAGCAAAUACUUACCACAGAGGACAUUCAGACAUUGAGUAGGUAAAAUAGUGGUUAUGGAUGAUUUCAAAUAUCGAAAAAAAUUGAAGCCCUCAUGAAACGUCAGAUCUUUCAGCAAACAUUAACAAAACAAAGUGAUAAUGCAGGAGUCUGUUAGUGAUAUUUUCUGAACUAGAUGUAGUUGCAUGUCACAAUAAUAUAAGACAAAGCAUAUGGAAUAGUGUUUGAUAUGAAACACUUCGUCACAAAAAUGAAGUUGUUUUUUUUUUUAAAUUGUCAUAACUGAUUGAGCAGGGAUGGCAAGUUGUAUCACAAAAGCACAAAAUAUUUCUGUAAAUACCCUGAUCCAAGUAGAACAGAGUUCUGGAGUUUCAAAAUCCAUCCAUCCAUCCAUUAUCUAUAGGCUGGAGCGUAUUCCAGUUGACUUAGAGCGAAGGCAGGGGACACCCUGGACAGGUUGCCAGUCUAUCUACAAUUUAGAAACAUCAGUUAACCUCAGCAUGACUUUAGACUGUGGGAGGAAACUGGAGUACCUGAUGAAAACACACUGCACAGGGAGAACAUGCAAACUCCUCACAGAAAGAUCCCAGGCCGGGACGCAAACCAGGGAGUUUCAAAAUGGUUCUUCAAAUAUCAAUGAGAUUUUUUUUUUUUUUUUUUUUAAAUACAAGCACAUGAGCAUGUAAUUUUCAGUCACUUUGAACAUCACAUUUAGCUCAGUGCAUUGAUCCUUAGUAUUAAACAUGCUGAAGAUGGGGUUUUAAAAAGAAACCUAUUUCAGAAAGUACUUGAUACAUCAGUCUAAAAUUUACAGAUACCAUUUAUGUUUCCAUAGUUUAUGAUAUUAAAAAACAUUUCAAGCAAAUCAGAUAGUCGAGGAGAAGGACUGUGAUGAUAUGAGAUAAAAAAUGACCCAUUACAUUUUGUAUACACUUCUGUCUGUGGAAGAAUCACACCGAUGAUUCCACCAAAGGGCCAUAAGAACACAAACUACACAUCUGUGCCACAACUUAUCACUUUAGGUCAGUUUAUUGUGCACUAGUGUUUCACAUUAAAACUAAUAUAUUGUAUCAGAUCAUUUUGGCGGCAAGGCCACCAACUGACAUGCAUAUAAUUUCAUACAACGUUGUUUUCUAAAUAAAUUAUUUUCCCA